RNAcentral lists this ribosomal RNA (492 nucleotides) under uncultured bacterium. RNAcentral's name for it is "partial 16S ribosomal RNA". It matches the Rfam family "Bacterial small subunit ribosomal RNA", at positions 29 to 507 of the family's 1533-position model. The record is from RNAcentral.
AGUGAACGCUGGCGGCAGGCCUAACACAUGCAAGUCGAACGGCAGCACAGUAAGAGCUUGCUCUUACGGGUGGCGAGUGGCGGACGGGUGAGGAAUACAUCGGAAUCUACUUUUUCGUGGGGGAUAACGUAGGGAAACUUACGCUAAUACCGCAUACGACCUACGGGUGAAAGCAGGGGAUCUUCGGACCUUGCGCGAUUGAAUGAGCCGAUGUCGGAUUAGCUAGUUGGCGGGGUAAAGGCCCACCAAGGCAACGAUCCGUAGCUGGUCUGAGAGGAUGAUCAGCCACACUGGAACUGAGACACGGUCCAGACUCCUACGGGAGGCAGCAGUGGGGAAUAUUGGACAAUGGGCGCAAGCCUGAUCCAGCCAUACCGCGUGGGUGAAGAAGGCCUUCGGGUUGUAAAGCCCUUUUGUUGGGAAAGAAAAGCAGCAGGUUAAUACCCCGCUGUUCUGACGGUACCCAAAGAAUAAGCACCGGCUAACUUCGUG